Molecule: ribosomal RNA, 253 nt
Filed under: uncultured bacterium
Lineage: Bacteria
Description: partial 16S ribosomal RNA
Rfam family: Bacterial small subunit ribosomal RNA
Source: RNAcentral
UACGUAGGUGACAAGCGUUGUCCGGAUUUACUGGGCGUAAAGAGCGCGCAGGCGGUCGUUCAAGUCGAGUGUGAAAGCCCCCGGCUCAACUGGGGAGGGUCAUUCGAUACUGAUCGACUCGAAGGCAGGAGAGGGAAGUGGAAUUCCCGGUGUAGUGGUGAAAUGCGUAGAUAUCUGGAGGAACACCGGUGGCGAAGGCGGCAUCCUGGACCAACACUGACGCUGAGGAGCGAAAGCCAGGGGAGCAAACGGG